Cinara cedri is the source of this 298-nucleotide non-coding RNA. NCBI's taxonomy places the organism in Eukaryota, Metazoa, Arthropoda, Insecta, Hemiptera, Aphididae. The record is from the annotation of a GenBank genome assembly.
AUUAUCUAGUUUUUCCUCACUAACUUCUAUAGUCACAAAUUAUAGUUUCAUAAGAGAUUGACGGGUCCACUUGAUUUUUGUUAAAAAUAUUCUAUUAUCAGCUUUCAAGUAUAGUGUUGAAGACAGCCAGCAUCAUUAGCACCUACAGUUCUAGUUGUUGGUCACGAUUGUAGAUAAUUCUGUCAACAAACACUUAGUUGAUCUACACACUGGUUAGUAAUUAAUAUAAUAUAGUUGAUUUAUCUUUAAAGUGGCAAUCGCACAACACACAAAUCAUAAAACGGACUUAAUUUAUAAC